ACAGUUCAUAUUAGAAUCAGUUCAUUCUUCUUACCGCCAACCAAAUUCUCUCUACCCUUCUGUUCGUUUACACUUACACGAAUCGAGGUUUGACUUUUAUACAAGUUUCCAUUUACACAAUAUAGACUUUUAAAAUUAUAAACUUAAAUGUAAUAAAGCAUAGUUUCAAACAGUGAUUAAAGAGGUAACUACAAAUCGUGAUGCAGUCACAACAUUAACAAGUUUGAGUCCCUAUUCUUCACACUUACAACUUGCAAACAAGUUUUUUUUGGGUAAAAAUGUUAAGAUAUUAUUACCAAGUUUUUUCGUUUUUGACAGAAUGACAGAAGAUAACACGAAGUAGAAAAACAGAAAAAAAAAACCUAAACACACACUCAAUCAAGAUACGAAAGCAAGACAGAUACAACAACCACAACCGCAGUCCCGGGACUCGACUAAAUCCGUAACAACAACUUUCCGCAAAAAGAUGAACCAAGUUCAACCGAGAGUCGGAACCCGCUAAUUUUGGCCUCCCCGAUGAAUCCGCUCUUAAAGAUAAUGACCCACCUAAGAACAGCUCACCGAGAACAUCAAGCACCUGCCCACACAAACACACAGCAAUAGCAGCGACCCAACACACCUUCAACAACCAACCGAGCAAUUAUUUGGCCCGGAGCGACCUGAACAGGAUGUCGAACCGAGCAAAAACGGGCUGUAACCUUCCUACUCCUUAAUCUGAGCCCAUCCUGCACACAAUUGCCACGCACACCGCCACAAUAGGCUCAAGCAAACCCAAGUAGCGCUGGGAUGUGAGCGAAGACCGAACGCUAAGAGUAGCGAUCAAAGACACGAGAACCACCACACGCCUGUCGCCGUCGAGAACCGACAGACAGAAACUGGUGCUGCUAGACUAUCACUUGCCACCGCAAGGACGCAAUGAAGAACAAGGGCGAAGUCCCAGACCGAAACCCCCUUACUACGACAACCAACGAGAGCCGUCGAC
RNAcentral lists this long non-coding RNA (982 nucleotides) under Brassica napus (rape). RNAcentral describes it as "long non-coding RNA (BNAP_LNC020872)". Lineage: Eukaryota; Viridiplantae; Streptophyta; Magnoliopsida; Brassicales; Brassicaceae. The record is from RNAcentral.